CAAUAGCGUAUAUUAAAGUUGUUGCAGUUAAAAAGCUCGUAGUUGGAUUUCUGGUGGAGAAGCUCCGCCCUCACGCGAGUGCGCGGAGGCUCUCUACCAUCCUUCUGUUAACCCUCGUGGUCCUUUAUUGGAUGCUUGGGAGCCCAGAUAUUUUACCUUGAGAAAAUUAGAGUGUUUCAGGCAGGCUUUCGCCCGGACUACAUUAGCAUGGAAUAAUAGAAUAGGACUUUGUCUCUUCUGUUGGUUCGUGAGGGGUCGGAAGUAAAUAGAUUAAUUAAGGAGUAGUUGGGGGUCGGAUUAGUACUUAACUAGUCAGAGGUGGAAA
Molecule: ribosomal RNA, 325 nt
Filed under: uncultured eukaryote
Lineage: Eukaryota
Description: bacterial SSU rRNA
Rfam family: Eukaryotic small subunit ribosomal RNA
Source: RNAcentral